UGCUUUACACAUGCAAGUCGAACGGCAGCACGGGGGCAACCCUGGUGGCGAGUGGCGAACGGGUGAGUAAUGCAUCGGAACGUACCGUGUAAUGGGGGAUAACGAGUCGAAAGACUUGCUAAUACCGCAUACGCCCUGAGGGGGAAAGCGGGGGAUCGUAAGACCUCGCGUUAUACGAGCGGCCGAUGUCGGAUUAGCUAGUUGGUGGGGUAAAGGCUCACCAAGGCGACGAUCCGUAGCUGGUCUGAGAGGACGACCAGCCACACUGGGACUGAGACACGGCCCAGACUCCUACGGGAGGCAGCAGUGGGGAAUUUUGGACAAUGGGGGCAACCCUGAUCCAGCCAUGCCGCGUGAGUGAAGAAGGCCUUCGGGUUGUAAAGCUC
This 386-nucleotide ribosomal RNA is filed under the name uncultured organism. Its description in RNAcentral is "bacterial SSU rRNA". It matches the Rfam family "Bacterial small subunit ribosomal RNA", at positions 45 to 433 of the family's 1533-position model. The record is from RNAcentral.